GACGAACGCUGGCGGCGUGCCUAAUACAUGCAAGUAGAGCGCACAGUUUAUACCGUAGCUUGCUCCACCAUAGACUGUGAGUUGCGAACGGGUGAGUAACGCGUAGGUAACCUGCCUGGUAGCGGGGGAUAACUAUUGGAAACGAUGGCUAAUACCGCAUAAUAUUAAUUAUUGCAUGAUAAUUAAUUGAAAGGUGCAAUUGCACCACUACCAGAUGGACCUGCGUUGUAUUAGCUAGUAGGUGAGGUAACGGCUCACCUAGGCGACGAUACAUAGCCGACCUGAGAGGGUGAUCGGCCACACUGGGACUGAGACACGGCCCAGACUCCUACGGGAGGCAGCAGGAGGGAAUCUUCGGCAAUGGACGAAAGUCUGACCGAGCAACGCCGCGUGAGUGAAGAAGGGUGUCGGAUCGUAAAGCUCUGUUGUAAGAGAAGAACGGGUGUGAGAGUGGAAAGUUCACACUGUGACGGUAUCUUACCAGAAAGGGACGGCUAACUACGUG
This 505-nucleotide ribosomal RNA is filed under the name uncultured bacterium. RNAcentral describes it as "partial 16S ribosomal RNA". It matches the Rfam family "Bacterial small subunit ribosomal RNA", at positions 28 to 507 of the family's 1533-position model. The record is from RNAcentral.